CCCACCAUCCAUCCAGCCAGCCCACCAUCCAGCCAGCCCACCAUCCAGCCCACCAUCCAGCCAGCCCACCAGCCUGCCAGCCAGCCAGCCCACCAGCCAGCCAGCCAUCCAGCCCACCAUCCAGCCAGCCCACAUGCAGCCCACCAUCCAGCCAGCCCACCAGCCUGCCAGCCAGCCAGCCAGCCCACCAGCCAGCCAGCCAGCCAUCCAGCCCACCAUCCAGCCAGCCCACAUGCAGCCCACCAUCCAGCCAGCCAGUCAGCACACCGUCCAGCGAGCCAGCCCACCAUCCAGCCCACCAUCCAGCCAGCCCACCAUACAGCCCACCAACCAGCCCGCCUGCCAGCACACCGUCCAGCCAGCCAGCCAGCCCACCAUCUAGCCAGCCCAGCAUCCAGCCCACCAUGCAGUCCACCAUCUAGCCCACCAUUCAGCCAGCCAGCCCACCACCCAGCCCACCAUCCAGCCCACCAGCCAGCCAGCCCGCCAUCCAGCCCACCAUCCAGCCCACCAUCCAGCCCACCAUCCAGCCAGCUCACCAUCCAGCCCCCCAUCCAGCCAGCCUGCCAGCCCACCACCCAGCUAACCAUCCAGCCAGCUCACCAUCCAGCCCACCAUCCAGCCAGCCAGCCCACCAUCCAGCCCACCAUCCAGCCCUCCAUCCAGCCAGCCCUCCAUCCAGCCAGCCCAGCAUCCAGCCAUCCAGCCCACCAUCCAGCUAACCAUCCAGCCAGCUCACCAUCCAGCCAGCUCACCAUCCAGCCAGCUCACCAUCCAGCCCACCAUCCAGCCAGCCCACCAUCCAGCCCACCAUCCAGCCCUCCAUCCAGCCAGCCCACCAUCCAGCCCACCAUCCAGCCAGCCCACCAUCCAGCCCACCAUCUAGCCAUCCAGCCCUCCAUCCAGCCAGCCCACCAUCCAGCCAGCCAACCCACCAGCCAGCCCACCAUCCAGCCCUCCAUCCAGCCAGCCAGCCCACCAGCCAGCCCACCAUCCAGCCAGCCCUCCAUCCAGCCAGCCAGCCCACCAUCCAGCCCACCAUCCAGCCCUCCAUCCAGCCAGCCAGCCCACCAUCCAGCCAGCCCACCAUCUAGCCAGCCCACCAUCCAACCCACCAUCCACCCUCCAGCCAGCCCACCAUCCAACCCACCAUCCAGCCCAACAUCCAGCCCUCCAGCCAGCCCACCAUCCAACCCACCAUCCAGCCCACCAUCCAGCCCACCAUCCAGCCCACCAUCCAGCCCACCAUCCAGCUCACCAGCCAGCCCACCAUUCAGCCAGCCAGCCAGCCCACCAGCCAGCCCACCAUCCAGCCCACCAUCCAGCCCUCCAUCCAGCCCACCAUCCAGCCCUCCCUCCAGCCCUCCAUCCAGCCAGCCAGCCCACCAUCCAGCCAGCCCACCAUCCAGCCAGCCCACCAUCCAGCCAGCCCACCAGCCAGCCCUCCAUCCAGCCAGCCAGCCCACCAUCCAGCCCACCAUCCAGCCAUCCAGCCCACCAUCCAGCCCUCCAUCCAGCCCUCCAGCCAACCCACCAUCCAGCCCACCAUCCAGCCCUCCAUUCAGCCCACCAUCCACCCUCCAGCCUGCCCACCAUCCAACCCACCAUCCAGCCCAACAUCCAGCCCACCAGCCAGCCCACCAUCCAGCCCUCCAGCCAGCCCACCAUCCAGCCCACCAUCCAGCCCAUCAUCCGGCCAGCCCACCAUCCAUCUCACCAGCCAGCCCACCAUUCAACCAGCCAGCCCACCAGCCAGCUCACCAUCCAGCCCACCAUCCAGCCAGCCAGCCCACCAUCCAGCCAUCCCACCAUCCAGCCCACCAUCCAGCCCUCCAUCCAGCCAUCCAGCCCUCCAUCCAUCCAGCCAGCCAGCCCACCAUCCAGCCAGCCCACCAUCCAGCCCACCAGCCAGCCCACCAUCCAGCCCACCAUCCAGCCAGCCCUCCAUCCAGCCAGCCCACCAUCCAUCCAGCCAGCCAGCCCACCAUCCAGCCCACCAUCCAGCCAUCCUGCCCACCAUCCAGCCAUCCAGCCCUCCAUCCAGCCCUCCAUCCAGCCCUCCAUCCAGCCCACCAUCCAGCCCACCAUCCAGCCCACCAUCAAGCCCACCAUCCAGCCAGCCCACCAUCCAGCCAGCCCACCAUCCAGCCAGCCCUCCAUCCAGCCAGCCAGCCCUCCAGCCAGCCCUCCAUCCAGCCCACCUUCCAGCCCACCAGCCAACCCACCAUCCAGCCCACCAGCCAGCCCCCCAGCCAGCCCACCAGCCAGCCCCCCAUCCAGCCCACCAGCCAGCCCACCAUCCAGCCCACCAUCCAGCCCACCAGCCAGCCCUCCAGCCAACCCACCAUCCAGCCCACCAUCCAGCCCACCAUCCAAUCCUCCAGCCAGCCCACCAUCCAGCCCACCAUCCAGCCCACCAUCCAGCCCUCCAUCCAGCCAGCCAGCCCACCAUCCAGCCAGCCCACCAUCCAGCCCACCAGCCAGCCCACCAUCCAGCCCACCAUCCAGCCAGCCCUCCAUCCAGCCAGCCCACCAUCCAUCCAGCCAGCCAGCCCACCAUCCAGCCCACCAGCCAGCCCACCAGCCAUCCAGCCCACCAUCCAGCCCUCCAUCCAGCCCUCCAUCCAGCCCACCAUCCAGCCCACCAUCCAGCCCACCAUCCAGCCAGCCCACCAUCCAUCCCACCAUCAAGCCCUCCAUCCAGCCAGCCAGCCCACCAUCCAGCCCACCAUCCUGCCAUCCAGCCCUCCAUCCAGCCCUCCAUCCAGCCCUCCAGCCAACCCACCAUCCAGCCCACCAUCCAGCCCUCCAUUCAGCCCACCAUCCACCCUCCAGCCAGCCCACCAUCCAGCCCACCAUCCAGCCCACCAUCCAGCCAGCCCACCAUCCAUCUCACCAGCCAGCCCACCAUUCAACCAGCCAGCCCACCAGCCAGCCCACCAUCCAGCCCACCAUCCAGCCCACUAUCCAGCCCUCCAUCCAGCCCACCAUCCAGCCCACCAUCCAGCCCACCAUCCAGCCAGCCAGCCAGCCCACCAUCCAUCCCACCAUCAAGCCCUCCAUCCAGCCAGCCAGCCCACCAUCCAGCCCACCAUCCAGCCCACCAUCCAGCCCUCCAUCCAGCCCUCCAUCCAGCCCUCCAGCCAACCCCCCAUCCAGCCCACCAUCCAGCCCUCCAUUCAGCCCACCAUCCACCCUCCAGCCAGACCACCAUCCAGCCCACCAGCCAGCCCACCAUCCAGCCCUCCAGCCAGCCCACCAUCCAGCCCACCAUCCAGCCCACCAUCCAGCCAGCCCACCAUCCAUCUCACCAGCCAGCCCACCAUUCAACCAGCCAGCCCACCAGCCAGCUCACCAUCCAGCCCAACAUCCAGCCAGCCAGCCCACCAUCCAGCCAUCCCACCAUCCAGCCCACCAUCCAGCCCUCCAUCCAGCCCUCCAGCCCUCCAUCCAGCCCUCCAUCCAUCCAGCCAGCCAGCCCACCAUCCAGCCAGCCCACCAUCCAGCCAGCCCACCAUCCAGCCCACCAGCCAGCCCACCAUCCAGCCAGCCCACCAGCCAGCCCACCAUCCAGCCAGCCCACCAUCCAGCCCACCAUCCAGCCAGCCCACCAUCCAACCAGCCAGCCCACCAGCCAGCUCACCAUCCAGCCCACCAUCCAGCCCACCAUCCAGCCAGCCAGCCCACCAUCCAGCCAGCCCACCAUCCAGCCAUCCCACCAUCCAGCCCACCAUCCAGCCCUCCAUCCAGCCAGCCAGCCCACCAUCCAGCCAUCCCACCAUCCAGCCCACCAUCCAGCCCUCCAUCCAUCCAGCCAGCCAGCCCACCAUCCAGCCAGCCCACCAUCCAGCCAGCCCACCAUCCAGCCAGCCCACCAUCCAGCCCACCAGCCAGCCCACCAUCCAGCCCACCAUCCAGCCAGCCCUCCAUCCAGCCAGCCCACCAUCCAUCCAGCCAGCCAGCCCACCAUCCAGCCCACCAUCCAGCCAUCCAGCCCACCAUCCAGCCAUCCAGCCCUCCAUCCAGCCCACCAGCCAGCCAGCCAGCCCACCAUCCAUCCCACCAUCAAGCCCACCAUCCAGCCAGCUCACCAUCCAGCCCACCAGCCAGCCCACCAUCCAGCCCACCAUCCAGCCAGCCCUCCAUCCAGCCAGCCCACCAUCCAUCCAGCCAGCCAGCCCACCAGCCAGCCCACCAGCCAGCCCACCAGCCAGCCCACCAGCCAUCCAGCCCACCAUCCAGCCCACCAUCCAGCCCUCCAUCCAGCCCUCCAUCCAGCCCACCAGCCAGCCCACCAUCCAGCCCACCAUCCAGCCAGCCAGCCAGCCCACCAUCCAUCCCACCAUCAAGCCCUCCAUCCAGCCAGCCAGCCCACCAUCCAGCCCACCAUCCAGCCAUCCAGCCCUCCAUCCAGCCCUCCAUCCAGCCCUCCAUCCAACCCACCAUCCAGCCCUCCAUCCAGCCCUCCAUUCAGCCCACCAUCCACCCUCCAGCCAGACCACCAUCCAGCCCAACAUCCAGCCCACCAGCCAGCCCACCAUCCAGCCCUCCAGCCAGCCCACCAUCCAGCCCACCAUCCAGCCCACCAUCCAGCCAGCCCACCAUCCAUCUUACCAGCCAGCCCACCAUUCAACCAGCCAGCCCACCAGCCAGCUCACCAUCCAGCCCACCAUCCAGCCAGCCAGCCCACCAUCCAGCCAUCCCACCAUCCAGCCCACCAUCCAGCCCUCCAUCCAGCCCUCCAGCCCUCCAUCCAGCCCUCCAUCCAUCCAGCCAGCCAGCCCACCAUCCAGCCAGCCCACCAUCCAGCCAGCCCACCAUCCAGCCCACCAGCCAGCCCACCAUCCAGCCAGCCCACCAUCCAGCCCACCAUCCAGCCAGCCCACCAUCCAGCCCUCCAGCCAGCCCACCAUCCAGCCCACCAUCCAGCCCACCAUCCAGCCAGCCCACCAUCCAUCUCACCAGCCAGCCCACCAUUCAACCAGCCAGCCCACCAGCCAGCUCACCAUCCAGCCCACCAUCCAGCCAGCCAGCCCACCAUCCAGCCAUCCCACCAUCCAGCCCACCAUCCAGCCCUCCAUCCAGCCCUCCAGCCCUCCAUCCAGCCCUCCAUCCAUCCAGCCAGCCAGCCCACCAUCCAGCCAGCCCACCAUCCAGCCAGCCCACCAUCCAGCCCACCAGCCAGCCCACCAUCCAGCCAGCCCACCAUCCAGCCAGCCCACCAUCCAGCCCUCCAUCCAGCCCUCCAUCCAGCCCUCCAUCCAGCCCACCAGCCAGCCCACCAUCCAGCCCACCAUCCAGCCAGCCAGCCAGCCCACCAUCCAUCCCACCAUCAAGCCCUCCAUCCAGCCAGCCAGCCCACCAUCCAGCCAUCCAGCCCUCCAUCCAGCCCUCCAUCCAGCCCUCCAGCCAACCCACCAUCCAGCCCACCAUCCAGCCCUCCAUUCAGCCCACCAUCCACCCUCCAGCCAGACCACCAUCCAGCCCAACAUCCAGCCCACCAGCCAGCCCACCAUCCAGCCCUCCAGCCAGCCCACCAUCCAGCCCACCAUCCAGCCAGCCCACCAUCCAUCUCACCAGCCAGCCCACCAUUCAACCAGCCAGCCCACCAGCCAGCUCACCAUCCAGCCCACCAUCCAGCCAGCCAGCCCACCAUCCAGCCAUCCCACCAUCCAGCCCACCAUCCAGCCCACCAUCCAGCCCUCCAUCCAGCCCUCCAGCCCUCCAUCCAGCCCUCCAUCCAUCCAGCCAGCCAGCCCACCAUCCAGCCAGCCCACCAUCCAGCCCACCAGCCAGCCCACCAUCCAGCCAGCCCACCAUCCAGCCCACCAUCCAGCCAGCCCACCAUCCAGCCCACCAUCCAGCCAGCCCACCAUCCAACCAGCCAGCCCACCAGCCAGCUCACCAUCCAGCCCACCAUCCAGCCAGCCAGCCCACCAUCCAGCCAUCCCACCAUCCAGCCCACCAUCCAGCCCUCCAUCCAGCCCUCCAGCCCUCCAUCCAGCCCUCCAUCCAUCCAGCCAGCCAGCCCACCAUCCAGCCAGCCCACCAGCCAGCCAGCCCACCAUCCAGCCCACCAGCCAGCUCACCAUCCAGCCCACCAUCCAGCCAGCCCUCCAUCCAGCCAGCCCACCAUCCAUCCAGCCAGCCAGCCCACCAUCCAGCCCACCAUCCAGCCAUCCAGCCCACCAUCCAGCCAUCCAGCCCUCCAUCCAGCCCUCCAUCCAGCCCACCAGCCAGCCCACCAUCCAGCCAGCCAGCCCACCAUCCAUCCCACCAUCAAGCCCACCAUCCAGCCAGCCCACCAUCCAGCCAGCCCACCAUCCAGCCAGCCCUCCAUCCAGCCAGCCAGCCCUCCAGCCAGCCCUCCAUCCAGCCCACCUUCCAGCCCACCAGCCAGCCCACCAGCCAGCCCACCAGCCUGCCCCCCAGCCAGCCCACCAGCCAGCCCACCAGCCAGCCCCCCAUCCAGCCCACCAGCCAGCCCACCAUCCAGCCCACCAGCCAGCCCUCCAGCCAACCCACCAUCCAGCCCACCAACCAGCCCACCAUCCAGCCAUCCAGCCAGCCCACCAUCCAUCCAGCCAGCCCUCCACCCAGCCAGCCAGCCCACCAUCCAAUCCUCCAGCUAGUCCACCAUCCAGCCCACCAUCCAGCCCUCCAUCCAGCCCUCCAGCCCUCCAUCCAGCCCUCCAUCCAGCCAGCCAGCCCACCAUCCAGCCAGCUCACCAUCCAGCCCACCAGCCAGCCCACCAUCCAGCCCACCAUCCAGCCAGCCCUCCAUCCAGCCAGCCCACCAUCCAUCCAGCCAUCCAGCCCACCAGCCAGCCCACCAGCCAGCCCACCAGCCAGCCCACCAUCCAGCCAUCCAGCCAUCCAGCCCACCAUCCAGCCCACCAUCCAGCCCUCCAUCCAGCCCACCAGCCAGCCCACCAUCCAGCCCACCAUCCAGCCAGCCAGCCCACCAUCCAUCCCACCAUCAAGCCCACCAUCCAGCCAGCCCACCAUUCAGCCAGCCCACCAUCCAGCCAGCCCUCCAUCCAGCCAUCCAGCCCUCCAUCCAGCCCACCAUCCAGCCCACCAGCCAGCCCACCAUCCAGCCCAACAGCCAGCCCCCCAGCCAGCCCCCCAGCCAGCCCCCCAUCCAGCCCACCAGCCAGCCAGCCCACCAUCCAGCCCACCAGCCAGCCCACCAGCCAGCCCUCCAGCCAGCCCUCCAUCCAACUCACCAUCCAGCCCACCAUCCAGCCCACCAUCCUGCCCUCCAGCCAGCCCACCAUCCAGCCAGCCCAUCAGCCAGCCAGCCAGCCAGCCCACCAUCCAGCCCUCCAGCCAGCCCACCAUCCAACCCACCAUCCAGCCCACCAUCCAACCCUCCAGCCAGUCCACCAUCCAGCCCUCCAUCCAGCCCACCAUCCAGCCCACCAUCCAGCCCACCAGCCAGCCCACCAUCCAGCCCAACAGCCAGCCCCCCAGCCAGCCCCCCAGCCAGCCCCCCAUCCAGCCCACCAGCCAGCCAGCCCACCAUCCAGCCCACCAGCCAGCCCACCAGCCAGCCCUCCAGCCAGCCCUCCAUCCAACUCACCAUCCAGCCCACCAUCCAGCCCACCAUCCUGCCCUCCAGCCAGCCCACCAUCCAGCCAGCCCAUCAUCCACCCAGCCAGCCAGCCAGCCAGCCCACCAUCCAGCCCUCCAGCCAGCCCACCAUCCAACCCACCAUCCAGCCCACCAUCCAACCCUCCAGCCAGUCCACCAUCCAGCCCUCCAGCCAGCCCACCAUCCAACCCACCAUCCAGCCCACCAUCCACCCUCCAGCCAGCCCACCAUCCAACCCACCAUCCUGCCCACCAUCCAACCCACCAUCCUGCCCACCAUCCACCCUCCAGCCAGCCCACCAUCCAACCCACCAUCCAGCCCACCAUCCAACCCUCCAGCCAGUCCACCAUCCAGCCCUCCAUCCAGCCCUCCAUCCAGCCCACCAUCCAACCCACCAUCCAGCCCACCAUCCAGCCCACCAUCCAGCCCACCAUCCAGCCAGCCCACCAUCCAGCCCCCCAUCCAGCCCUCCAGCCCUCCAUCCAGCCCUCCAUCCAGCCAGCCAGCCCACCAUCCAUCCAGCCCACCAGCCAGCCCACCAUCCAGCCCUCCAUCCAGCCCACCAUCCAACCCACCAGCCAGCCCUCCAUCCAGCCCACCAGCCAGCCCACCAGCCAGCCCACCAUCCAGCCCUCCAUACAACCCACCAUCCAGCCCACUAUCCAGCCCUCCUGCCAGCCCACCAUUCCAGCCCACCAUCCAGCCCUCCAGCCAGCCCACCAUCCAGCCAUUUAA
Molecule: long non-coding RNA, 8331 nt
Filed under: Oncorhynchus mykiss (rainbow trout)
Lineage: Eukaryota; Metazoa; Chordata; Actinopteri; Salmoniformes; Salmonidae
Description: lncRNA (ENSOMYG00000052837.1)
Source: RNAcentral